UGGAAGUAAAAGUCGUAACAAGGUCUCCGUUGGUGAACCAGCGGAGGGAUCAUUACCGAGUUUACAACUCCCAAACCCAAUGUGAACGUUACCAAACUGUUGCCUCGGCGGGAUCUCUGCCCCGGGUGCGUCGCAGCCCCGGACCAAGGCGCCCGCCGGAGGACCAACCAAAACUCUUUUGUAUACCCCCUCGCGGGUUUUUUAUAUCUGAGCCAUCUCGGCGCCUCUCGUAGGCGUUUCGAAAAUGAAUCAAAACUUUCAACAACGGAUCUCUUGGUUCUGGCAUCGAUGAAGAACGCAGCGAAAUGCGAUAAGUAAUGUGAAUUGCAGAAUUCAGUGAAUCAUCGAAUCUUUGAACGCACAUUGCGCCCGCCAGUAUUCUGGCGGGCAUGCCUGUCCGAGCGUCAUUUCAACCCUCGAACCCCUCCGGGGGGUCGGCGUUGGGGAUCGGCCCUUUACGGGGCCGGCCCCGAAAUACAGUGGCGGUCUCGCCGCAGCCUCUCCUGCGCAGUAGUUUGCACACUCGCAUCGGGAGCGCGGCGCGUCCAUUGCCGUAAAACACCCAACUUUCUGAAAUGUUGACCUCGGAUCAGGUAGGAAUACCCGCUGAACUUAAGCAUAUCAAUAAGCGGAGGAA
Molecule: ribosomal RNA, 637 nt
Filed under: fungal sp. ARIZ L32
Lineage: Eukaryota; Fungi
Description: eukaryotic LSU rRNA
Rfam family: 5.8S ribosomal RNA (bases 254-407)
Source: RNAcentral